This 158-nucleotide unclassified non-coding RNA is filed under the name uncultured Xylariales. Its description in RNAcentral is "sequence contains ITS1". The record is from RNAcentral. Lineage: Eukaryota; Fungi; Ascomycota; Sordariomycetes; Xylariales.
CAGAGUUAUCUAACUCCCAAACCCAUGUGAACUUACCAGUUUGUUGCCUCGGCAGGCUUCCGUCUCCCCUCGGGGGAUGGGCACUACGGGCCUGCCGGCGGCCCCCAUCAACUCUUGAAUAUUUUUGUACUUCUGAGCGUUUAUUAUAAAAUAAAUCA